This 440-nucleotide ribosomal RNA is filed under the name uncultured bacterium. RNAcentral's name for it is "partial 16S ribosomal RNA". It matches the Rfam family "Bacterial small subunit ribosomal RNA", at positions 338 to 795 of the family's 1533-position model. The record is from RNAcentral.
CCUACGGGUGGCAGCAGUGGGGAAUAUUGCACAAUGGGGGAAACCCUGAUGCAGCGACGCCGCGUGAGUGAAGAAGUAAUUCGUUAUGUAAAGCUCUAUCAGCAGGGAAGAAAAUGACGGUGCCUGAGUAAGAAGCCCCGGCUAACUACGUGCCAGCAGCCGCGGUAAUACGUAGGGGGCAAGCGUUAUCCGGAUUUACUGGGUGUAAAGGGAGCGUAGACGGCAGUGCAAGUCUGGAGUGAAAGGCGGGGGGGCAACCCCCGGACUGCUCUGGAUACUGUACGGCUGGAGUGCAGGAGAGGUAAGUGGAAUUCCUAGUGUAGCGGUGAAAGGCGUAGAUAUUAGGAGGAACACCAGUGGCGAAGGCGGCUUACUGGACUGUAACUGACGUUGAGGCUCGAAAGCGUGGGGAGCAAACAGGAUGAGAUACCCUUGUAGUC